This 776-nucleotide ribosomal RNA is filed under the name uncultured Neocallimastigales. RNAcentral's name for it is "partial large subunit ribosomal RNA". It matches the Rfam family "Eukaryotic large subunit ribosomal RNA", at positions 23 to 620 of the family's 3401-position model. Lineage: Eukaryota; Fungi; Neocallimastigomycota; Neocallimastigomycetes; Neocallimastigales. The record is from RNAcentral.
AGAGAGAGACAUGCGCGCAUAUCAAUAAGCGGAGGAAAAGAAACUAACAAGGAUUCCCUUAGUAACGGCGAGUGAAGCGGGAAGAGCUCAAAUUUGAAAUCUUCAAGGUUUUACCUUGACGAAUUGUAGUUUAAAGAAGUGUUUUCUGCUGAAGUUUUGGUAAAAGUUCUUUGGAAUAGGACAUCAUAGAGGGUGAGAAUCCCGUAUUUGACCAUUAUUUUCAGCUUUGUGAUACACUUUCAAAGAGUCGGAUUGUUUGGGAAUGCAGUCCAAAAUGGGUGGUAAAUUUCAUCUAAAGCUAAAUAUUGGCGAGAGACCGAUAGCGAACAAGUACCGUGAGGGAAAGAUGAAAAGAACUUUGAAAAGAGAGUUAAACAGUACGUGAAAUUGUCAAAAGGGAAAGCGUUUGACACCAGUGUUGUUUUCUCGAAAAUCAAUUAAAAAUGGCUCGAUUUUGUAUUGUUGAGACCUUAAAAGCUCACUGUACAUUUUUCGUGUCUUUUUUAAUGCACUUUUCGUUUAACAAGUCAACAUCAGUUUCUUUUGUUGUAAAAGGGUCAUUGGAAGGUGGCUUUCUUUUCGGAGAAAGUGUUUAUAGCCUUUGGCCUCUGCAAUCGGAAGAGACUGAGGUCUGCAGCGUAGACUCUUCGGGGUUAGAUACAUUUGUGCUAAGUUAUAGCUUUUUAUAGACAACUUGUUGACUAUAAUUAGUCUUGUAGCUUACUCGCUUAUGCUAUUUUACCUACGCUUAGGAUGUUGAAGAUGUAGCACAUCAU